GACGAACGCUGGCGGCGUGCUUAACACAUGCAAGUCGAACGGAAAGGCCCUGCUUUUGUGGGGUGCUCGAGUGGCGAACGGGUGAGUAACACGUGAGUAACCUGCCCUUGACUUUGGGAUAACUUCAGGAAACUGGGGCUAAUACCGGAUAGGAGCUCCUGCUGCAUGGUGGGGGUUGGAAAGUUUCGGCGGUGGGGAUGGACUCGCGGCUUAUCAGCUUGUUGGUGGGGUAGUGGCUUACCAAGGCUUUGACGGGUAGCCGGCCUGAGAGGGUGACCGGCCACAUUGGGACUGAGAGACGGCCCAGACUCCUACGGGAGGCAGCAGUGGGGAAUAUUGCAAUGGGCGGAAGCCUGAUGCAGCAACGCCGCGUGCGGGAUGACGGCCUUCGGGUUGUAAACCGCUUUCGCCUGUGACGAAGCGUGAGUGACGGUAAUGGGUAAAGAAGCACCGGCUAACUACGUG
Molecule: ribosomal RNA, 465 nt
Filed under: uncultured bacterium
Lineage: Bacteria
Description: partial 16S ribosomal RNA
Rfam family: Bacterial small subunit ribosomal RNA
Source: RNAcentral